GCGGCAGUAGUUUCCCGCCUAUGGCGGGNNGGUAGAAUGUCUCCUUCCCAAGGAGAAGGUCGCCGGUUCGAGCCCGGUCUGCCGCUCCA
Molecule: transfer RNA, 89 nt
Filed under: Candidatus Uhrbacteria bacterium
Lineage: Bacteria; Candidatus Uhriibacteriota
Description: tRNA-Gly
Rfam family: tRNA
About the family: Transfer RNA (tRNA) molecules are approximately 80 nucleotides in length.
Source: RNAcentral